Molecule: transfer RNA, 73 nt
Filed under: Bacteriophage sp.
Description: tRNA-Met
Rfam family: tRNA
About the family: Transfer RNA (tRNA) molecules are approximately 80 nucleotides in length. Their secondary structure includes four short double-helical elements and three loops (D, anti-codon, and T loops). Further hydrogen bonds mediate the characteristic L-shaped molecular structure. tRNAs have two regions of fundamental functional importance: the anti-codon, which is responsible for specific mRNA codon recognition, and the 3' end, to which the tRNAs corresponding amino acid is attached (by aminoacyl-tRNA synthetases). tRNAs cope with the degeneracy of the genetic code in two manners: having more than one tRNA (with a specific anti-codon) for a particular amino acid; and 'wobble' base-pairing, i.e. permitting non-standard base-pairing at the 3rd anti-codon position.
Source: RNAcentral
GGAAGCUUAGUUCAGCGGUGAGAGCAACGGCCUCAUAAGCCGUAAGUCCUGGGUUCGAAUCCCAGAGUUUCCA